This 366-nucleotide ribosomal RNA is filed under the name uncultured bacterium. RNAcentral describes it as "bacterial SSU rRNA". It matches the Rfam family "Bacterial small subunit ribosomal RNA", at positions 147 to 507 of the family's 1533-position model. The record is from RNAcentral.
CGUAUGGAAACGUACGCUAAUACCGCAUGCGCCCUUCGGGGGAAAGUCGGGGACCGCAAGGCCUGGACGCGAUUGGAUGAGCCCAUGUUCGAUUAGCUAGUUGGCGGGGUAACGGCCCACCAAGGCGACGAUCGAUAGCUGGUCUGAGAGGAUGAUCAGCCACACUGGAACUGAGACACGGUCCAGACUCCUACGGGAGGCAGCAGUAGGGAAUAUUGGACAAUGGGCGCAAGCCUGAUCCAGCCAUGCCGCGUGAGUGAAGAAGGCCCUCGGGUUGUAAAGCUCUUUUGUUGGGGAAGAAAAGCAGUUGGUUAAUACCCGAUUGUUCUGACGGUACCCAAAGAAUAAGCACCGGCUAACUUCGUG